AGGAUGAACGCUGGCGGCGUGCCUAACACAUGCAAGUCGAACGUCCUGUCUCGCAAGAGGCAGGGAGUGGCGGACGGGUGAGUACCACGUGGGUCAUCUACCGUGAGGUGAGGAAUACCGGCGAGAAAUCGCCGACAAGACCGCAUAGGCUCGAUGCAAGUCGAGCAAAGCUCUUUCGAGAGAGGGAGCGCCACACGAGGAGCCUGCGCCCGGAUUAGCUAGCUGGUGGAGUAACGGUUCACCAGGGCGACGAUCGGUAGCUGGUCUGAGAGGACGAUCAGCCACACUGGGAUUGAGAACGGCCCAGACUCCUACGGGGGGCAGCAGUGAGGAAUUUUCGUCAAUGGGGGCAACCCUGAACGAGCAACGCCGCGUGCAGGAAGAAGGUUUUCGGAUCGUAAACUGCUUUUCUCGGGGAAGAGAAUGGACGGUACCCGAGGAAUCAGCCCGGCUAACUACGUGCCAGCAGCCGCGGU
RNAcentral lists this ribosomal RNA (476 nucleotides) under uncultured bacterium. RNAcentral's name for it is "SSU rRNA". It matches the Rfam family "Bacterial small subunit ribosomal RNA", at positions 26 to 521 of the family's 1533-position model. The record is from RNAcentral.